CUGUAACCAUGCUGAAAGAAGUAUUUGUGCUUGGAUGCCUCCUGAGCCUCGCUCUGGCUCAACCUUUGGGCAUGGAGCACAAACGACUUGCUCGGUCAAGGUCUGACUCUGACUCUAACUCGGAUUCCAAUGAGGGUACCGCAACAACAAAUAACCAGGCUGCUUUGCAACAGUUGCUUCAAUUCUUAAUUACCCAGCUCAUAAACCAACAGACCACUACU
Long non-coding RNA from Anoplopoma fimbria (sablefish), 221 nucleotides. RefSeq lists it as uncharacterized. The record is from RefSeq and is a predicted model, not a curated record. NCBI's taxonomy places the organism in Eukaryota, Metazoa, Chordata, Actinopteri, Perciformes, Anoplopomatidae. The transcript is spliced from 3 exons.